Molecule: long non-coding RNA, 323 nt
Filed under: Oryctolagus cuniculus (rabbit)
Lineage: Eukaryota; Metazoa; Chordata; Mammalia; Lagomorpha; Leporidae
Description: lncRNA (ENSOCUG00000034298.1)
Source: RNAcentral
GCCUCGUGCCCGCCCACUCCGCGGCCGCCAUGUUCCCGGCGGGGCCUGGGCCUGUGUAAGUGACGCCCCCAGCCUGCGCUCUUCGAAGCGAGGUUUCCCCCUGGAGGGCUUUGUGGUGACUCCUGGGGGUGAGUGGUUAGCAGGCUGAACAUGUGACCAAAUGGCCUCUGACUGGGUUUGACUGACUCAUGAGAGAUGACCUAACACUACCGUGCUCAGCUUGUCCCAUGUCCCCUUGCCCCUUGGCAACACACAACAGCAUGCACAGCCCAGCGGAAACCGCCAAGCUCGCAUCACCGGCUUGGAUUUAAAACACAAGUGGA